Molecule: ribosomal RNA, 253 nt
Filed under: uncultured Blastopirellula sp.
Lineage: Bacteria; Pseudomonadati; Planctomycetota; Planctomycetia; Pirellulales; Pirellulaceae
Description: partial 16S ribosomal RNA
Rfam family: Bacterial small subunit ribosomal RNA
Source: RNAcentral
UACGAGUGGUGCAAACGUUAUUCGGAAUCACUGGGCUUAAAGGGUGCGUAGGCGGCUACGAAAGUCAGGUGUGAAAUCCCUCAGCUCAACCUAGGAACUGCGCUUGAAACUACGUGGCUCGAGGAAGACAGAGGUGAGCGGAACUGAUGGUGGAGCGGUGAAAUGCGUUGAUAUCAUCAGGAACACCGGUGGCGAAGGCGGCUCACUGGGUCUUAUCUGACGCUGAGGCACGAAAGCCAGGGGAGAAAACGGG